This is a small nucleolar RNA of Saimiri boliviensis boliviensis (Bolivian squirrel monkey), 152 nucleotides long. RefSeq annotates it as small nucleolar RNA ACA64. The record is from RefSeq and is a predicted model, not a curated record. Lineage: Eukaryota; Metazoa; Chordata; Mammalia; Primates; Cebidae.
GUGGGUUGAAAAUCCGUCCCCACCCUUGGCUUUGGCCGUGGCCGCGGGUAAGACUUGGCACCCAGAGCCAAGUAUGUUUUUAAAGAUGUUGGGGACCUCAGCUCACCACGCGCUGCCCCACAUGCAGUGGUGAAACCCAGGCCCCGACAGGC